RNAcentral lists this ribosomal RNA (253 nucleotides) under uncultured bacterium. RNAcentral describes it as "partial 16S ribosomal RNA". It matches the Rfam family "Bacterial small subunit ribosomal RNA", at positions 524 to 776 of the family's 1533-position model. The record is from RNAcentral. RNAcentral also lists the same sequence under 1 other name.
UACGUAGGUGACGAGCGUUAUCCGGAAUUACUGGGCGUAAAGCGUACGCAGGCGGCAUGGUAAGUCUGACGUGAAAUCUCCUGGCUUAACUGGGAGAGGUCGUUGGAGACUGCUGUGCUUGAGACAAUGAGAGGGGUGCAGAAUUCCCGGUGUAGUGGUGGAAUGCGUAGAUAUCGGGAGGAAUACCAGAGGCGAAAGCGGCACCCUGGCAUUGGUCUGACGCUCAUGUACGAAAGCGUGGGUAGCAAACGGG